UACGUAGGGACCGAGCGUUGUCCGGAUUCAUUGGGCGUAAAGAGCUCGUAGGCGGCUGCUCAAGUCGAAUGUGAAACCUCGAGGCUUAACCUCGAGCCUGCAUUCGAUACUGGGCGGCUAGAGUCUGGUAGGGGGAUCUGGAAUUCCUGGUGUAGCGGUGGAAUGCGCAGAUAUCAGGAGGAACACCGGUGGCGAAGGCGGGAUCCUGGGCCAGUACUGACGCUGAGACGCGAAAGCGUGGGGAGCGAACAGG
This 253-nucleotide ribosomal RNA is filed under the name uncultured bacterium. RNAcentral's name for it is "partial 16S ribosomal RNA". It matches the Rfam family "Bacterial small subunit ribosomal RNA", at positions 524 to 776 of the family's 1533-position model. The record is from RNAcentral.